RNAcentral lists this ribosomal RNA (254 nucleotides) under uncultured bacterium. Its description in RNAcentral is "partial 16S ribosomal RNA". It matches the Rfam family "Bacterial small subunit ribosomal RNA", at positions 79 to 334 of the family's 1533-position model. The record is from RNAcentral.
CUUUCUUUGCUGGCGACCGGCGCACGGGUGAGUAACACGUAUCCAACCUGCCCUUUACUCGGGGAUAGCCUUUCGAAAGAAAGAUUAAUACCCGAUAGCAUAAUGAUUUCGCAUGGUUUCAUUAUUAAAGGAUUCCGGUAAAGGAUGGGGAUGCGUUCCAUUAGGUUGUUGGUGAGGUAACGGCCCACCAAGCCUUCGAUGGAUAGGGGUUCUGAGAGGAAGGUCCCCCACAUUGGAACUGAGACACGGUCCAA